This 1175-nucleotide long non-coding RNA is filed under the name Ailuropoda melanoleuca (giant panda). RNAcentral describes it as "lncRNA (ENSAMEG00000026886.1)". The record is from RNAcentral. Lineage: Eukaryota; Metazoa; Chordata; Mammalia; Carnivora; Ursidae.
AUGCUCUUGGUUCUUUAUCCAUCCCCCCCUUUUAGUCUCUAUAAGGAAAUGGCAUGGGAGAUGGGUUUUGAAGAGUUCCAUUUGUAUCUGAGGCCUGUUCACUUUGAAUUUGCAUCACUCAAAGACAAAGUGGACCAUCCGCCUCCUGUCUUUGUCACCUCUCUGCUGGAAGACAGUGAUCGAGUGGACAGAUAUUCUCCUACUACUCUUGUCUUAGCCAUCUCUGAGGUGGAUGAUAACCAGGUUGGCAAGUUUAGCUUUUAUACAAAGGAAGCCAUCCUUAAGGUAAAUUAUUUUUUUAAAAGAAAACCAAAGUAAAAUUAAGCAAUUUGCUCAUGUAUUUUCUUUACAAUUCAUCAUAUUUAAUUCAUAUGUUUGGCUCCCAUGUAGAAAAAAAGCUUCCAACUUCAUAAAUAAUGGUGAUAGCCUUGUCUUAUUUGAUGUGCCUAUUGGUCUGGUUUGAACCAUGGAGCCUGCUACACCCCUUGCAAUAACUUCUGUUAGGUUUUGAAAGGAAGCACAUGUAGUGAACCAUCUUUGUACCAAGUUUUUAAAAUAUGCACUUGUUAUUGGAGCUUUUAUCUGAUCUUCUUAAACUUGGUGCUGUUAUUUUCCCCUUGCACUCAGAUGGAGUUCUUUGCCUCUGUAUGUGUAGGUUUGUAUUUGUGUGUGUAUUUUUUAUUUUUUAAAUUAAUUUUAAUUUUUAAUUUUUUUAAAGAUUUUAUUUAUUUGAGAGCGAGUCAGAAAAAGCAGGGAGGGGGGAGGGAGAGGGACCAGCAGACUCCCUGCUGAGUGUGGAGCCCACUUUGGGACUUGAUCCCAGGACCCUGAAAUCAUGACCUGAGAUGAAGUCCGAUGCUUAACUGACUGAGUCACCAAGGCACCCCUGUGUGUGUAUUUUUUAAACAUUAAUCUAAUCUUGGCAGUUUUAAAAGGCUGCCACUGAGUAGUUGCUAGUAGUUGCUAGUUCAUCAGAGCUUACUCAUCCUUUUCUGACCAGAAACCUGAUGGUGUCCAGCUGCAGAGCAAAUCAGGUCUGGAGGGUGCCUUCCUGGGGUGAAAUGGUGCUUAGAGAGAGACCAGAAUCAGUCCCGUGGCUGAGGAGCAAGGAUCUCAGUUCAUCCUGCAGUUUGAUUCAUAUGUUUACAUGUUAAAUAAGUGGUGAUCUCAAAUCC